GAUGAACGCUGGCGGCGUGCCUAAUACAUGCAAGUCGAGCGAACGGACGCGAAGCUUGCUUUUCUGAUGUUAGCGGCGGACGGGUGAGUAACACGUGGAUAACCUACCUAUAAGUCUGGGAUCACUUCGGGAAACCGGAGCUAACACCGGAUAAUAUUUUGAACCACAUGGUUCAAAAGUGAAAGACGGUCUUGCUGUCACGUAUAGAUGGAUCCGCGCUGCAUUAGCUAGUAGGUAAGGUAAAGGCUUACCAAGGCGAAGAGGCGUGGCCGACCGGGGGGGCGGAUCGGCGACACUGGAACUUAAACGCGGUCCAGGCGACUGAGGGAGGCAGCAGUAGGUAAUCUUCCGCAGAGGUGGAAAGCAUGGCGCAACAACGGCGCGUGAGUGAUGGAGGUCUUCGGAGCGUAAAACUCUGUUACUGGGGAUGAACAUAUGUGUAAGGAAAUGUACACAUCGUGACGGUACCUGAUCAGAAAGCCACGGCUAACUACGUG
This 497-nucleotide ribosomal RNA is filed under the name uncultured bacterium. RNAcentral's name for it is "partial 16S ribosomal RNA". It matches the Rfam family "Bacterial small subunit ribosomal RNA", at positions 28 to 507 of the family's 1533-position model. The record is from RNAcentral.